Molecule: non-coding RNA, 25 nt
Filed under: Cricetulus griseus (Chinese hamster)
Lineage: Eukaryota; Metazoa; Chordata; Mammalia; Rodentia; Cricetidae
Source: RNAcentral
GAUCCUCAGAUCUAGUCAGUUCUGG